UUGGAGAGUUUGAUCCUGGCUCAGGAUGAACGCUGGCGGCGUGCCUAAUACAUGCAAGUCGAACGAGUUCUGAUUAUUGAAAGGUGCUUGCAUCUUGAUUUAAUUUUGAACGAGUGGCGGACGGGUGAGUAACACGUGGGUAACCUGCCCUUAAGUGGGGGAUAACAUUUGGAAACAGAUGCUAAUACCGCAUAAAUCCAAGAACCGCAUGGUUCUUGGCUGAAAGAUGGCGUAAGCUAUCGCUUUUGGAUGGACCCGCGGCGUAUUAGCUAGUUGGUGAGGUAACGGCUCACCAAGGCAAUGAUACGUAGCCGAACUGAGAGGUUGAUCGGCCACAUUGGGACUGAGACACGGCCCAAACUCCUACGGGAGGCAGCAGUAGGGAAUCUUCCACAAUGGACGCAAGUCUGAUGGAGCAACGCCGCGUGAGUGAAGAAGGCUUUCGGGUCGUAAAACUCUGUUGUUGGAGAAGAAUGGUCGGCAGAGUAACCUGUUGUCGGCGUGACGGUAUCCAACCAGAAAGCCACGGCUAACUACGUGCCAGCAGCCGCGGUAAUAA
Molecule: ribosomal RNA, 559 nt
Filed under: Lacticaseibacillus rhamnosus
Lineage: Bacteria; Bacillati; Bacillota; Bacilli; Lactobacillales; Lactobacillaceae
Description: bacterial SSU rRNA
Rfam family: Bacterial small subunit ribosomal RNA
Source: RNAcentral